This 2635-nucleotide ribosomal RNA is filed under the name Chloropicon sieburthii. RNAcentral describes it as "large subunit ribosomal RNA". It matches the Rfam family "Bacterial large subunit ribosomal RNA". Lineage: Eukaryota; Viridiplantae; Chlorophyta; Chloropicophyceae; Chloropicales; Chloropicaceae. The record is from RNAcentral.
UAAAGGUUCUCAAUAGUAACCUAGACAAAAAAAAGAAAGAUGGACGGAAUAUCCGAUAAAAACAUGGAGGCAAGUCCGAAGAUGUGUUUAAGUCCAAAGGAAAACCGGAAAAUAAAAAACUUAGAGAAUUGAAACAUCUUAGUAUCUAAGGAAAAAAAUCAACCGAGUUUUUGCGAGUAGUGGCGAAUGAAAGCAAAAAAAAAGGCUAAAAGGUUUAAAAGAAGAAUCGAAAAUUCCAGAAAGGAUUGCCAGAGCGUGUGAAAGCCCCGUAGAGUACUUCUUAAACUUAAAUCAGUAGGGCGGUUAAAAAUCUGUCUGAAGAUAGGGGGACCACCCUCUAAGCCUUAAAUAAUUUUUUUUGAUCGAUAGCGAACAAGUACCGUGAGGGAAAGGUGAAAUAAUCCCUUAUAAAGGGUUUGAAAUAGCAUAAAAUUGAGAAUUAACAAGCAGUAGAUUGAUUAUCUAGUUAAGAAAUCUACGUACUUCUUGCAUAACGGAUCAGCGAGUUAGUUUCUAAAGCAGGCUUAAACAGUAAUGUGAAGGUAAAAAGAAAAUAAAAAGGUUUUAGGAAAAAGACCCGAACCUAAGUGAUCUAAGUAUGAGCAGGUUGAAACUCCACGAAAGUGUAGUGAAGGACCGAACCCACGGCUGUUGCAAUAUCCGGGGAAGACUUGUGCUUAGGGGUGAAAGGCCAAACAAACUUAGAUCUAGCUGGUUUUCCCCGAAAUCUAUUGAGGUAGAGCACUUUUUAAUUAUAUCUUAUGGGGUAGAGCACUUCAUGGGUGUGGGGGGCGUAAAGCUUUACCAUUUCCAAGAAAACUCCGAAUACGUAGAGAUAGAAAAAGAAGACAGGCUCUGGGCGCAAAGGUGCAGAGCCAAAAGGGAAAAAGCCCAGACUAAUAGCUAAGGUCUUAAAUCUCUUUCUUAGUGGGAAAGGAGCAAUACGAGCGAAAUCAACUUCUAGGUGGGCUUAGAGGCAGCCAUCCCGCAAAGGAAAGCGUAACAGCUCAUUGAUUCAGCCGUGAUUGACCAAAAAUGUAACGAGUCUCAAGAAAGAAACCGAAGCUAUAGACUUUUUAAUCCUUCAAUGGAUUAUUAUGUGGUAGGGGAACGUUGUGUGUGUCAGUGACUUUAAUUCAUAAGAAUUUUAAGGAGACCUCACAAGUGACUAUGCUGAUAUGAGUAACGUAAAAUCAUGUGAAAUACAUGAUCACCGAAACUUCCAGGUUUUCUACGCAUUGUGAAUCAGCGUAGAGUUAUACGGCCCCUAAGAUGAUUUAUAAGACCCGAAAGGGUAUGUCGAUGGGAAAUUAUUUUGAAAGAUUCACGAGAGAUUUCUUCUUUCUUCGUUGGAGAUAAAUUAAGAGGAAAAUCAAGUGAACUGGAAAACUCAAAAUAUUAUAUACCGUACUCGAAACCGCCACUGGUGAAGGAGUAGGAAUCUACAAAGGUGAUCGAAAGAACCAUUUCUAAGGAACUCGGCAAAAUGACCCCGUAACUUAGGAAGAAGGGGGACCUUUUGUACUUUUUAAGUAUGAAAGGUGGCACGAAAUCGGGGGUAGCAACUGUUUACCAAAAACACAAGACUUUGCUAAGUUGUAAAACGCUGUAUAAGGUCUGACACCUGCCCGGUGCUGCAAGCUAAAAGGGAAGGGUGAAAUCCAUAUGGAUGGAGCUCCGAACUGAUUGUUCAGUAAACGGCGGUCGUAACUCUAACGAUCCUAAGGUAGCGAAAUUCCUUGUCCACUAAUUAUGGACCUGCAUGAAUGGUGUAAUGACUGCCCCGCUGUCUCAGAAAUGGAUUCGGUGAAAUUGAAUUCUCCGUGAAGAUGCGGAGUAUUAGUGCCUAGACGGGAAGACCCUGUGCUUCUUUACUAUAACCUUUCAUUGAAACUUGGCUUCUCUUGUGUAGAAUAAGUGGGAGUUUCCUUUAAUUAGGGGACAUCAGUGAAAUACCACUCUGGAUUAACUGAGAAUCUUACCUUUUUAAGAAAAAGGGACAUUGGAUGGUGGGUAGUUUGACUGGGGUGGUCGCCUCCCAAAGUGUAACGGAGGUGUACGAAGGUAGGUUUGAUUGGAUUGGAAACCCUUUCUAAAGUGUAACGAUAUAAACUUGCUUGACUGUGAGAUAGACAUAUCUAGCAGGGACGAAAGUCGGUCGUAGUGAUCCGGGAGUUCUUUGUGGAAAGGCUCUCGCUCAACGAAUCAAAGAAACGCCAGGGAUAACAGGCUAAUACCUCCCAAGAGUUCUUAUCGACGGAGUUGUUUGGCACCUCGAUGUUGAUUCAUUGCGUCCUGGAGGUGAAGAAGCUUCCAAGGGUUGGGCUGUUCGCCCAUUAAAGCAGUACGUGAGUUGAGUUCAGAACGUCGUGAGACAGUUCGGUUCCUAUCUAGCAUUAAUAGUGAAAAAUUAUAAGGUUUUGUCUCUAGUACGAGAGGAUCGAGACUAAAGAGACCUCUGGUUUACCGGUUGUAUUGCCAAAUGCAUCGCCGGCUCGCUACGUCUCUCAGAAUAACUGCUGAAAGCAUCUAAGCGGGAAGUCUUCCUUUAGACUUAUUUUUAACAUCGUAGAAGACUACUACGUUGAUAGGCAAGAACCCAUUCUUUAGUAAUAAAGAAUCUUUUUUGUACUAA